RNAcentral lists this ribosomal RNA (268 nucleotides) under uncultured bacterium. RNAcentral's name for it is "partial 16S ribosomal RNA". It matches the Rfam family "Bacterial small subunit ribosomal RNA", at positions 524 to 784 of the family's 1533-position model. The record is from RNAcentral.
UACAGAGACUGCAAGCGUUAUUCGGAUUCACUGGGCGUAAAGGGUGCGCAGGCGGUUGGGUGUGUCAGAUGUGAAAAUCCCGAGGCUUAACCUCGGAACUGCGUCUGAAACUACUCGACUAGAGUACUGGAGAGGGAAACGGAAUUCACGGUGUAGCAGUGAAAAUGCGUUGAGAUCGGAAGGAACGCCCGUGGCGAAAAGCGAGGUCCUGGACGCCUACUGACGCUGAGACGCGAAAAGCCAGGGGGAGCGAAACGGGGAUUAGAAA